UCAUCUCCGGGGGUAGAGCACUGUUUCGGCAAGGGGGUCAUCCCGACUUACCAACCCGAUGCAAACUGCGAAUACCGGAGAAUGUUAUCACGGGAGACACACGGCGGGUGCUAACGUCCGUCGUGAAGAGGGAAACAACCCAGACCGCCAGCUAAGGUCCCAAAGUCAUGGUUAAGUGGGAAACGAUGUGGGAAGGCCCAGACAGCCAGGAUGUUGGCUUAGAAGCAGCCAUCAUUUAAAGAAAGCGUAAUAGCUCACUGGUCGAGUCGGCCUGCGCGGAAGAUGUAACGGGGCUAAACCAUGCACCGAAGCUGCGGCAGCGACNNNNNNNNNNNNNNNNNNNNNNNNNNNNNNNNNNNNNNNNNNNNNAUGCUGGAGGUAUCAGAAGUGCGAAUGCUGACAUAAGUAACGAUAAAGCGGGUGAAAAGCCCGCUCGCCGGAAGACCAAGGGUUCCUGUCCAACGUUAAUCGGGGCAGGGUGAGUCGACCCCUAAGGCGAGGCCGAAAGGCGUAGUCGAUGGGAAACAGGUUAAUAUUCCUGUACUUGGUGUUACUGCGAAGGGGGGACGGAGAAGGCUAUGUUGGCCGGGCGACGGUUGUCCCGGUUUAAGCGUGUAGGCUGGUUUUCCAGGCAAAUCCGGAAAAUCAAGGCUGAGGCGUGAUGACGAGGCACUACGGUGCUGAAGCAACAAAUGCCCUGCUUCCAGGAAAAGCCUCUAAGCAUCAGGUAACAUCAAAUCGUACCCCAAACCGACACAGGUGGUCAGGUAGAGAAUACCAAGGCGCUUGAGAGAACUCGGGUGAAGGAACUAGGCAAAAUGGUGCCGUAACUUCGGGAGAAGGCACGCUGAUAUGUAGGUGAGGUCCCUCGCGGAUGGAGCUGAAAUCAGUCGAAGAUACCAGCUGGCUGCAACUGUUUAUUAAAAACACAGCACUGUGCAAACACGAAAGUGGACGUAUACGGUGUGACGCCUGCCCGGUGCCGGAAGGUUAAUUGAUGGGGUUAGCGGUAACGCGAAGCUCUUGAUCGAAGCCCCGGUAAACGGCGGCCGUAACUAUAACGGUCCUAAGGUAGCGAAAUUCCUUGUCGGGUAAGUUCCGACCUGCACGAAUGGCGUAAUGAUGGCCAGGCUGUCUCCACCCGAGACUCAGUGAAAUUGAACUCGCUGUGAAGAUGCAGUGUACCCGCGGCAAGACGGAAAGACCCCGUGAACCUUUACUAUAGCUUGACACUGAACAUUGAGCCUUGAUGUGUAGGAUAGGUGGGAGGCUUUGAAGUGUGGACGCCAGUCUGCAUGGAGCCGACCUUGAAAUACCACCCUUUAAUGUUUGAUGUUCUAACGUUGACCCGUAAUCCGGGUUGCGGACAGUGUCUGGUGGGUAGUUUGACUGGGGCGGUCUCCUCCUAAAGAGUAACGGAGGAGCACGAAGGUUGGCUAAUCCUGGUCGGACAUCAGGAGGUUAGUGCAAUGGCAUAAGCCAGCUUGACUGCGAGCGUGACGGCGCGAGCAGGUGCGAAAGCAGGUCAUAGUGAUCCGGUGGUUCUGAAUGGAAGGGCCAUCGCUCAACGGAUAAAAGGUACUCCGGGGAUAACAGGCUGAUACCGCCCAAGAGUUCAUAUCGACGGCGGUGUUUGGCACCUCGAUGUCGGCUCAUCACAUCCUGGGGCUGAAGUAGGUCCCAAGGGUAUGGCUGUUCGCCAUUUAAAGUGGUACGCGAGCUGGGUUUAGAACGUCGUGAGACAGUUCGGUCCCUAUCUGCCGUGGGCGCUGGAGAACUGAGGGGGGCUGCUCCUAGUACGAGAGGACCGGAGUGGA
RNAcentral lists this ribosomal RNA (1817 nucleotides) under Escherichia coli. Its description in RNAcentral is "23S ribosomal RNA". It matches the Rfam family "Bacterial large subunit ribosomal RNA", at positions 890 to 2701 of the family's 2925-position model. The record is from RNAcentral. Lineage: Bacteria; Pseudomonadati; Pseudomonadota; Gammaproteobacteria; Enterobacterales; Enterobacteriaceae.